Molecule: ribosomal RNA, 305 nt
Filed under: Anaplasma phagocytophilum
Lineage: Bacteria; Pseudomonadati; Pseudomonadota; Alphaproteobacteria; Rickettsiales; Anaplasmataceae
Description: bacterial SSU rRNA
Rfam family: Bacterial small subunit ribosomal RNA
Source: RNAcentral
CGGCAAACUCCGUGCCAGCAGCCGCGGUAAUACGGAGGGGGCAAGCGUUGUUCGGAAUUAUUGGGCGUAAAGGGCAUGUAGGCGGUUCGGUAAGUUAAAGGUGAAAUGCCAGGGCUUAACCCUGGAGCUGCUUUUAAUACUGCCAGACUAGAGUCCGGGAGAGGAUAGCGGAAUUCCUAGUGUAGAGGUGAAAUUCGUAGAUAUUAGGAGGAACACCAGUGGCGAAGGCGGCUAUCUGGUCCGGUACUGACGCUGAGGUGCGAAAGCGUGGGGAGCAAACAGGAUUAGGUACCCUGGUAGUCCAC